RNAcentral lists this ribosomal RNA (470 nucleotides) under uncultured bacterium. RNAcentral's name for it is "bacterial SSU rRNA". It matches the Rfam family "Bacterial small subunit ribosomal RNA", at positions 31 to 507 of the family's 1533-position model. The record is from RNAcentral.
GAACGCUGGCGGCAUGCCUUACACAUGCAAGUCGGAGCGGGGUUUUCGGACCUAGCGGCGGACGGGUGAGUAAUGCGUAGGAAGCUACCCGAUAGAGGGGGAUACCAGUUGGAAACGACUGUUAAUACCGCAUAAUGUCUACGGACCAAAGUGUGGGACCUUCGGGCCACAUGCUAUCGGAUGCGCCUACGUGGGAUUAGCUAGUUGGUGAGGUAAUGGCUCACCAAGGCGACGAUCUCUAGCUGGUUUGAGAGGAUGAUCAGCCACACUGGAACUGAGACACGGUCCAGACUCCUACGGGAGGCAGCAGUGGGGAAUAUUGGACAAUGGGCGCAAGCCUGAUCCAGCCAUGCCGCGUGUGUGAAGAAGGCCUUCGGGUUGUAAAGCACUUUCAGCGAGGAGGAAGAGUUGUAUGUUAAUAGUACACAGCUUUGACGUUACUCGCAGAAGAAGCACCGGCUAACUCUGUG